This 577-nucleotide non-coding RNA is filed under the name Pongo abelii (Sumatran orangutan). Lineage: Eukaryota; Metazoa; Chordata; Mammalia; Primates; Hominidae. The record is from RNAcentral.
UAUUAUUGUAUUUUACAGAUCAUUCAUUCAGGACAUGCUGCGUCUGGGGUUGGCAUCAUUUCCCUUUUGAAUGACAGAAAGUGCAUAAAAGUCUCUUGCCCACGCUGAACUCACACGUGCCUGGCAGGAAGGAGCUCUCACGAAGUGCCAGCUGGAUGUGAGCUUGCUCUGGCAGCAGCAGUGCCGUCCUUGUUUCUGAGCUGCCACCUAUUCACUGGAGUUAGAAACCUUGUGGGAAAAUGAUGCCUAUUUUUGACAACUGGGGUCUUCCUGGCCGAGGUCCCUAUGACCUUCCUUUCAAAAGAAAAUGUGUAGUUUUAGUUCUCAGACAUCUGGGUCUUGCUCUGCUGCCCAGGCUGGAGUGCAGUAGUGUGAUCAUGGCUCACUGAAGCCUCAGCCUCCUGGGCUCAAGUGAGCCUCCUACCUCAGCCUCCCAAGUAACUGGGACCACAGCAUGUUCUUUUAAACUUCCUAAAGAAGCCUAUGAUAACUGGGAACACGGGCCUUUCACUGAGGCAGGAGAAUCACAUGAGCCACACAUGAUAUCCACUGGAGGAGACAGAAAGUCUGGGAGUGU